AAAACCCUAAUGCUGACUAAAGGACAGAGUUCAAUUUAGGGUUUAAAACCCUAAUGCUGACUGAAGGAAAUAGUUCAGUUUAGGGUUUAAAACCCUAAUGCUGACUGAAAGGAAAAGUUCAGUUUAGGGUUUAAAACCCUAAUGCUAGCUAAAGGGACAGAGUUCAGUUUAGGGUUUAAAACCCUAAUGCUGACUGAAAGGAAAAGUUCAGUUUAGGGUUUUAAAACCCUAAUGCUGACUAAAGGGAAAGAGUUCAGUUUAGGGUUUAAAACCCUAAUGCUGACUGAAAGGAAAAGUUCAGUUUUAGGGUUUAAAACCCUAAUGCUGAAUGAUUGGGAAAAGUUCAGUUUGGGGUUUAAAACCCUAAUGCUGACUGAAUGGAAAAAGUUCAGUUUAGGGUUUAAAACCCUAAUGCUGACUGAAUGGAAAAAGUUCAGUUUAGGGUUUAAAACCCUAAUGUUGACUGAAAGAAAAGUUCAGUUUAGGGUUUAAAACUCUAAUGCUGAUUAAAGGAAAAGUUCAGUUUAGGGUUUAAAACCCUAAUGCUGACUGAAUGGAAAAAGUUCAGUUUAGGGUUUAAAACCCUAAUGCUGACUGAAUGGAAAAGUUCAGUUUAGGGUUUAAAACCCUAAUGCUGACUUAAAGGAAAAGUUCAGUUUAGGGUUUAAAACCCUAAUGCUGACUGAAAGGAAAAGUUCAGUUUAGGGUUUAAAACCCUAAUGCCGACUAAAGGAAAAGUUCAGUUUAGGGUUUAAAACCCUAAUGCUGACUAAAGGAAAAAGUUCAGUUUAGGGUUUAAACCCCUAAUGCUGACUGAAAGGAAAAGUUCAGUUUAGGGUUUAAAACCCUAAUGCUGACUAAAGGAAAAGUUCAGUUUAGGGUUUAAAACCCUAAUGCUGACUGAAAGGAAAAGUUCAGUUUAGGGUUUAAAACCCUAAUGCUGACUAAAGGAAAAGUUCAGUUUAGGAUUUAAAACCAUAAUGCUGAUUAAAGGAAAAGUUCAGUUUAGGGUUUAAAACCCUAAUGCUGACUGAAAGGAAAAGUUCAGUUUAGGGUUUAAAACCCUAAUGCUGACUAAAGGAAAAGUUCAGUUUAGGGUUUAAAACCCUAAUGCUGACUAAAGGAAAAAGUUCAGUUUAGGGUUUUAAAACCCUAAUGCUGACUAAAGGAAAAGUUCAGUUUAGGAUUUAAAACCCUAAUGCUGAUUAAAGGAAAAGUUCAGUUUAGGGUUUAAAACCCUAAUGCUGACUAAAGGAAAAAGUUCAGUUUAGGGUUUUAAAACCCUAAUGCUGACUGAAAGGGAGAAGUUCAGUUUAGGGUUUAAAACCCUAAUGCUGACUAAAGGAAAAAGUUCAGUUUAGGAUUUAAAACCCUAAUGCUGAUUAAAGGAAAAGUUCAGUUUAGGGUUUAAAACCCUAAUGCUGACUAAAGGAAAAAGUUCAGUUUAGGGUCUUAAAACCCUAAUGCUGACUGAAAGGGAGAAGUUCAGUUUAGGGUUUAAAACCCUAAUGCUGACUGGCUGGGGACAAAGUUCGAGAAUACUAACUGGCCUCUUUUUUUGAAUUUUCUUGUUUUAGUAGAAGAUAAAAGAGAGUCUCGUGG
This 1602-nucleotide long non-coding RNA is filed under the name Nicotiana tabacum (common tobacco). Its description in RNAcentral is "long non-coding RNA (NTAB_LNC019334)". The record is from RNAcentral. Lineage: Eukaryota; Viridiplantae; Streptophyta; Magnoliopsida; Solanales; Solanaceae.